This 3463-nucleotide ribosomal RNA is filed under the name Drosophila melanogaster (fruit fly). RNAcentral's name for it is "eukaryotic LSU rRNA". The stretch from base 573 to 3463 matches the Rfam family "Eukaryotic large subunit ribosomal RNA", at positions 1 to 2098 of the family's 3401-position model. Lineage: Eukaryota; Metazoa; Arthropoda; Insecta; Diptera; Drosophilidae. The record is from RNAcentral.
ACUCUAAGCGGUGGAUCACUCGGCUCAUGGGUCGAUGAAGAACGCAGCAAACUGUGCGUCAUCGUGUGAACUGCAGGACACAUGAACAUCGACAUUUUGAACGCAUAUCGCAGUCCAUGCUGUUAUGUACUUUAAUUAAUUUUAUAGUGCUGCUUGGACUACAUAUGGUUGAGGGUUGUAAGACUAUGCUAAUUAAGUUGCUUAUAAAUUUUUAUAAGCAUAUGGUAUAUUAUUGGAUAAAUAUAAUAAUUUUUAUUCAUAAUAUUAAAAAAUAAAUGAAAAACAUUAUCUCACAUUUGAAUGUGAAAAACGAAGAGAAAUAUUUUCUUUUUCAAUCAAAUAAUACUGAGAAAUGUCUAGCAUAAAAAAUUGAAAUAUUUUUCAUCUAGAAUUGUCUCUUAUUAAUGAUUCGGAAAUAGAAAAAUCUUGGUUAUGUUAUUAUUCUUCGUUGGUUCGUUAAAAAUGGAUAAAUAAAAACUUUGCAUACAAGAAUUAAUAAAAAUGUUAUAACGAAUUUAAUUAAAUGUUUUAUCAUUAUAUAUAAAGAAUUUAUGGCAAGAUAAAGUUAUAUACAACCUCAACUCAUAUGGGACUACCCCCUGAAUUUAAGCAUAUUAAUUAGGGGAGGAAAAGAAACUAACAAGGAUUUUCUUAGUAGCGGCGAGCGAAAAGAAAACAGUUCAGCACUAAGUCACUUUGUCUAUAUGGCAAAUGUGAGAUGCAGUGUAUGGAGCGUCAAUAUUCUAGUAUGAGAAAUUAACGAUUUAAGUCCUUCUUAAAUGAGGCCAUUUACCCAUAGAGGGUGCCAGGCCCGUAUAACGUUAAUGAUUACUAGAUGAUGUUUCCAAAGAGUCGUGUUGCUUGAUAGUGCAGCACUAAGUGGGUGGUAAACUCCAUCUAAAACUAAAUAUAACCAUGAGACCGAUAGUAAACAAGUACCGUGAGGGAAAGUUGAAAAGAACUCUGAAUAGAGAGUUAAACAGUACGUGAAACUGCUUAGAGGUUAAGCCCGAUGAACCUGAAUAUCCGUUAUGGAAAAUUCAUCAUUAAAAUUGUAAUAUUUAAAUAAUAUUAUGAGAAUAGUGUGCAUUUUUUCCAUAUAAGGACAUUGUAAUCUAUUAGCAUAUACCAAAUUUAUCAUAAAAUAUAACUUAUAGUUUAUUCCAAUUAAAUUGCUUGCAUUUUAACACAGAAUAAAUGUUAUUAAUUUGAUAAAGUGCUGAUAGAUUUAUAUGAUUACAGUGCGUUAAUUUUUCGGAAUUAUAUAAUGGCAUAAUUAUCAUUGAUUUUUGUGUUUAUUAUAUGCACUUGUAUGAUUAACAAUGCGAAAGAUUCAGGAUACCUUCGGGACCCGUCUUGAAACACGGACCAAGGAGUCUAACAUAUGUGCAAGUUAUUGGGAUAUAAACCUAAUAGCGUAAUUAACUUGACUAAUAAUGGGAUUAGUUUUUUAGCUAUUUAUAGCUAAUUAACACAAUCCCGGGGCGUUCUAUAUAGUUAUGUAUAAUGUAUAUUUAUAUUAUUUAUGCCUCUAACUGGAACGUACCUUGAGCAUAUAUGCUGUGACCCGAAAGAUGGUGAACUAUACUUGAUCAGGUUGAAGUCAGGGGAAACCCUGAUGGAAGACCGAAACAGUUCUGACGUGCAAAUCGAUUGUCAGAAUUGAGUAUAGGGGCGAAAGACCAAUCGAACCAUCUAGUAGCUGGUUCCUUCCGAAGUUUCCCUCAGGAUAGCUGGUGCAUUUUAAUAUUAUAUAAAAUAAUCUUAUCUGGUAAAGCGAAUGAUUAGAGGCCUUAGGGUCGAAACGAUCUUAACCUAUUCUCAAACUUUAAAUGGGUAAGAACCUUAACUUUCUUGAUAUGAAGUUCAAGGUUAUGAUAUAAUGUGCCCAGUGGGCCACUUUUGGUAAGCAGAACUGGCGCUGUGGGAUGAACCAAACGUAAUGUUACGGUGCCCAAAUUAACAACUCAUGCAGAUACCAUGAAAGGCGUUGGUUGCUUAAAACAGCAGGACGGUGAUCAUGGAAGUCGAAAUCCGCUAAGGAGUGUGUAACAACUCACCUGCCGAAGCAACUAGCCCUUAAAAUGGAUGGCGCUUAAGUUGUAUACCUAUACAUUACCGCUAAAGUAGAUGAUUUAUAUUACUUGUGAUAUAAAUUUUGAAACUUUAGUGAGUAGGAAGGUACAAUGGUAUGCGUAGAAGUGUUUGGCGUAAGCCUGCAUGGAGCUGCCAUUGGUACAGAUCUUGGUGGUAGUAGCAAAUAAUCGAAUGAGACCUUGGAGGACUGAAGUGGAGAAGGGUUUCGUGUGAACAGUGGUUGAUCACGAGUUAGUCGGUCCUAAGUUCAAGGCGAAAGCCGAAAAUUUUCAAGUAAAACAAAAAUGCCUAACUAUAUAAACAAAGCGAAUUAUAAUACACUUGAAUAAUUUUGAACGAAAGGGAAUACGGUUCCAAUUCCGUAACCUGUUGAGUAUCCGUUUGUUAUUAAAUAUGGGCCUCGUGCUCAUCCUGGCAACAGGAACGACCAUAAAGAAGCCGUCGAGAGAUAUCGGAAGAGUUUUCUUUUCUGUUUUAUAGCCGUACUACCAUGGAAGUCUUUCGCAGAGAGAUAUGGUAGAUGGGCCUAGAAGAGCAUGACAUAUACUGUUGUGUCGAUAUUUUCUCCUCGGACCUUGAAAAUUUAUGGUGGGGACACGCAAACUUCUCAACAGGCCGUACCAAUAUCCGCAGCUGGUCUCCAAGGUGAAGAGUCUCUAGUCGAUAGAAUAAUGUAGGUAAGGGAAGUCGGCAAAUUAGAUCCGUAACUUCGGGGAUAAGGAUUGGCUCUGAAGAUUGAGAUAGUCGGGCUUGAUUGGGAAACAAUAACAUGGUUUAUGUGCUCGUUCUGGGUAAAUAGAGUUUCUAGCAUUUAUGUUAGUUACUUGUUCCCCGGAUAGUUUAGUUACGUAGCCAAUUGUGGAACUUUCUUGCUAAAAUUUUUAAGAAUACUAUUUGGGUUAAACCAAUUAGUUCUUAUUAAUUAUAACGAAUUAAUCAAUUAAACCAAUCCAAUUCAAGAACUGUGCACGGGACUUGGGGGGAAUCCGCACUGUCUUAAUUUUAAAAUACCAACAGCAUUGUGGAGUGGCCCCCUAGCGGGUUGUUUUGACACAAUUGUGAUUUCUGGCCCCCAGUGGCUCUGAAAAUGGUCCAAAAGUGAAGAGAAUUGCAAGUAAAGCGCGGCCCCGGUUGCAACGGGCGGUCAACUAUGACUUCUCGUUUCAAUGGAUGCAAGACGCUGAUGAAAACGUGACCGUCGAUAUGCAAUUGAGUGAUGAGAGAAGUGGAUGUGGCGGAGGAGUCCACGAUGGAUGUCCUCGCCUCGGGAAUUGCAGCGUCGAAGAAUCGCUAAGACACGAUUAUAGGGAAUAGCUAGACAUCAGCCGCCCGAAUGAAUAAAAAGGCGCCGCCCUAGUAGAAGUGA